UACGUAGGUGGCAAGCGUUGUCCGGAUUUACUGGGCGUAAAGAGCGCGCAGGCGGUCGCUCAAGUCGCGUGUGAAAGCCCCCGGCUCAACUGGGGAACUGCGCGGGAAACUACCGGGCUUGAGAUCGGGAGAGGGAAGCGGAAUUCCGGGUGUAGCGGUGAAAUGCGUAGAUAUCCGGAGGAACACCAGUGGCGAAGGCGGCUUCCUGGACCGACACUGACGCUGAGGCGCGAAAGCUAGGGGAGCAAACGGG
Molecule: ribosomal RNA, 253 nt
Filed under: uncultured bacterium
Lineage: Bacteria
Description: partial 16S ribosomal RNA
Rfam family: Bacterial small subunit ribosomal RNA
Source: RNAcentral